UGCCUUGGAUCCUGCAUUGCUGUGGCUGUGGUGUAGGCUGUCAGCUGUAGCUCUAAUUCAACCCCCAGCCUUAGAACCUCCAUAUGCUGUGGGUGUGGCCCGGAAAAGCAAGAAAAAAAUUACUCUUCUAUCAGUGGGGGAAAUGUUCAGUUCCUGUCUCAGCUUAUUUCAUCUAACUCUUGAGGUACAAUUACUGUUAGUAUUCUUCUAGGUACUCUGCACAUAAGGACAUAUAUUCACGUGUAACUUGUUUUUAACCCCUAAUAUUUCUAGUCUCUUUAACUUUUUUUUUUUUUUUAGUGAUUAUCCUAGGAACUUCCAUAUGCCGCAGGUGUGGCCCUAAAAAGACAAUAAAUAAAUAAAUACAUCUUUUCUUUCUCCACAUUCUUAAAUACAGUUGUAUUAGUUGCAAGCAUUAUACUAAAUUCUGUAUUCUAUUCAGCCCCUUGAGGUCAGCUUUUUUGUUUUCGAUAGCAUCAGAAGUAUGUAUAUGGUAUAUAGUUAGGCUCAGGUAUUUUAAUUUAUAGGAGGGCUACCUCUAACAGAUGAUUUCUUUUUUUUUGUCUUUUUGUCUUUGUUUUUUUUAGGGCCGUACCCAUGGCAUAUGGAGGUUCCAGGAUUAGAGGUUGGAAUCAGAGCUGUAGCCACUGCCCUAUGCCAUAGCCACAGCCACAGCCAUGCAGGAUCUGAGCCUCCUCUGCGACCUACACCACAGCUUACAACAAUGCCAGGUCCUCAGCCCACUGAGCGAGGUCAGGGAUGGAGCCUCUGUCCUCAUGGAUGCUAGUCAGAUUCAUUUCCGCUGAGUUACGAUAGGAACUCCUAAAAUAUGCCUUUUAUGGUGUAUUGAAGAAAACUGUAAGGAAGACCAUUUGGUAUUUUUGUAUGAUCUUGAUAAAAUAAGGAAUGAUAAUAGUAAAAUUUUCCAAUUAAAAAUAUUUUCAAGGUUUAAUGAAUUUGAGCUUCUUUCUAUAAUCAGGUUUAUGUUGGCUCUCCAAAUUAUUGACAGCCAUCAUCAAAGACAAAUCUCAUUUGCAUAAGUAAAUGUGUGACACAUUUAAAACAUUUUUUAAAAUUCAGUGUUAGUAUAUUUGUAGUUGUACAACCAUCAUCAUAACCUAAUUUUAGAAUAUUUCCAUCCCAAACCCCCAGUCCAUCACUCCCACCCCCAACCUGUCCCCUUUGGUAAUCCUAAGUUUCUCAGAGUCUGUGAGUCUGUUUCUGCUUUUCAAAUAAGUUCAUCGUAUUCUUUUUUUUAGAUUCCAUAUAUAGGUGAUAGCAUAUGAUGUUUGUGUCUCACUGUCUUCACUUAGCAUGAUAUUUUCUGGGUCCAUCCAUGUUGCUAUAAAUGCCAGUAUUUCAUUCCUUUUUAUGGCUGAGUAAUAUUCUAUUGUGCAUAUGUAUCACAUCUUUAUCCAUUCCUCUAUUCAUGGACAUUUCAGUUGCUUCCUUGUCUUGGCUAUUGUAUGUAGUGCUACAAACCAUUCAGAGAUUUAAAAUUGAAAUGCUUAAAGGUAAAGGCUUGUCCUUUUUUAUUGGCAAAAUGUAGUAUUGACUUUUAGAAAAAUAUGAAUGUAUUUUGAGCUCAACAUUAAAAAUAAUGAUGUAAAAGGGGAGUUCCCUUUUGGCUCAGCAGUAACAAACCUGGCUAGUAUCCAUGAGGAUGCAGGUUCGAUCUCUGACCUUGCUCAGAGGGUUAAGGAUCCAGCCUUGCCAUGAGCUGUGGUAUAGGCCGGCAGCUGUUAUAUCUCCGAUUAGACUCUGUGGGGUAGGUUGCAGGUGCUGCUUGGAUCUGGCAUUGCUGUGGCUCUGGCAUAGGCUGGCAGCUGUAGAUCCAAUUGGACCCCUAGCCUGGGAACCUCCAUAUGCCGCAGGUGCAGCCCUAAAAAACAAAAGACAAAAAAAAAAACAAAAAACACUUUUGUACACAAUUUUUGAAAAUCCUAUCACAUGCUUAUAAUCCCACUUUUGGUAAUUGCCCUAUCCCCAGUUUUGGUAAGAAAGAUAUGACAUGUAUAGAAAAAAAUGAAUAGUAUGCUGAACAAUGCCAUAACUUCUUCAACAAUUAACAUUUUUCCAUUUCUAUAUUUAUAUAUUUUUACUGCACUAUUUGAUCGCAAAUGCUUCAGCGUAUAUCUCUUAGAAAUUUAGACUUUCUGGCAUAGUCAUUACUACAUCUAAUAAUUUUAAAUAGUUUUAAAAUAGUCGAGUUUAAAACUUCCCCAGAAAGGAGUUCCCAUUGUGGCUCAGUGGUUAACAAACCCGACUAGUACCCAUGAUGACGCAGGUUCCAUCCCUGGCCUUGCUCAGUGGGUUAAGGAUUUGGCGUUGCUCUGAGCUGUGGUGUAGGUCGAAGACAGGCUCAGAUCUG
RNAcentral lists this long non-coding RNA (2371 nucleotides) under Sus scrofa (pig). RNAcentral's name for it is "lncRNA (ENSSSCG00005028676.1)". The record is from RNAcentral. Lineage: Eukaryota; Metazoa; Chordata; Mammalia; Artiodactyla; Suidae.